RNAcentral lists this ribosomal RNA (501 nucleotides) under uncultured bacterium. RNAcentral's name for it is "partial 16S ribosomal RNA". It matches the Rfam family "Bacterial small subunit ribosomal RNA", at positions 30 to 523 of the family's 1533-position model. The record is from RNAcentral.
AUUGAACGCUGGCGGCAGGCUUAACACAUGCAAGUCGAGCGGAGAGAGGUAGCUUGCUACUGAUCUUAGCGGCGGACGGGUGAGUAAUGCUUAGGAAUCUGCCUAUUAGUGGGGGACAACAUUUCGAAAGGAACGCUAAUACCGCAUACGUCCUACGGGAGAAAGCAGGGGAUCUUCGGACCUUGCGCUAAUAGAUGAGCCUAAGUCGGAUUAGCUAGUUGGUGGGGUAAAGGCCUACCAAGGCGACGAUCUGUAGCGGGUCUGAGAGGAUGAUCCGCCACACUGGGACUGGGACACGGCCCAGACUCCUACGGGAGGCAGCAGUGGGGAAUAUUGGACAAUGGGCGGAAGCCUGAUCCAGCCAUGCCGCGUGUGUGAAGAAGGCCUUAUGGUUGUAAAGCACUUUAAGCGAGGAGGAGGCUACUUUAGUUAAUACCUAGAGAUAGUGGACGUUACUCGCAGAAUAAGCACCGGCUAACUCUGUGCCAGCCGCCGCCGUAA